Molecule: ribosomal RNA, 397 nt
Filed under: uncultured bacterium
Lineage: Bacteria
Description: partial 16S ribosomal RNA
Rfam family: Bacterial small subunit ribosomal RNA
Source: RNAcentral
CUACGUAGGGGGCGAGCGUUGUCCGGAAUGAUUGGGCGUAAAGGGCGCGUAGGCGGCGCGGUAAGUCUGGAGUGAAAGUCCUGUUUUUAAGCUGGGAAUUGCUUUGGAUACUGUCGGGCUUGAGUGCAGGAGAGGUAAGUGGAAUUCCCAGUGUAGCGGUGAAAUGCGUAGAGAUUGGGAGGAACACCAGUGGCGAAGGCGACUUACUGGACUGUAACUGAAGCUGAGGGGCGAAAGUGUGGGGAGCAAACAGGAUUAGAUACCCUGGGAGUCCACGCUGUAAACGAUGGGUACUAGGUGUAGGAGGUAUCGCCCCCUUCGGUGCCGGAGUGAACGCAAUAAGUACCCCGCCUGGGGACUACGGUCGCAAGACUAAAACUCAAAUGAAUUGGCGGGG